RNAcentral lists this ribosomal RNA (405 nucleotides) under uncultured prokaryote. Its description in RNAcentral is "bacterial SSU rRNA". It matches the Rfam family "Bacterial small subunit ribosomal RNA", at positions 355 to 774 of the family's 1533-position model. The record is from RNAcentral.
UGGGGAAUUUUGGACAAUGGGCGAAAGCCUGAUCCAGCGACGCCGCGUGGAGGACGAAGGCCUUCGGGUUGUAAACUCCUUUUGGCAGGGACGAAAUAAAUGACGGUACCUGCAGAAAAAGCCACGGCUAACUACGUGCCAGCAGCCGCGGUAAUACGUAGGUGGCGAGCGUUACUCGGAAUUACUAGGCGUAAAGCGCUUGUAGGUGGUUGGAUAAGUCUAUGGUGAAAUUUCCCGGCUUAACUGGGAAGGGUCCAUGGAAACUGUCUGGCUUGAGUGUGGCAGGGGGUGACGGAAUUCCCGGUGUAGCGGUGAAAUGCGUAGAUAUCCUGAGGAACACCGGUGGCGAAAGCGGCUUUCUGGUACGAAACUGACGCUGAGGCUCGAAAGCGUGGGGAGCGAACG